CCUACGGGAGGCAGCAGUGAGGAAUAUUGGUCAAUGGACGAGAGUCUGAACCAGCCAAGUAGCGUGAAGGAUGACUGCCCUAUGGGUUGUAAACUUCUUUUAUAUGGGAAUAAAAUGUUCCACGUGUGGGCUUUUGUAUGUACCAUAUGAAUAAGGAUCGGCUAACUCCGUGCCAGCAGCCGCGGUAAUACGGAGGAUCCGAGCGUUAUCCGGAUUUAUUGGGUUUAAAGGGAGCGUAGGUGGGUUGUUAAGUCAGUUGUGAAAGUUUGCGGCUCAACCGUAAAAUUGCAGUUGAAACUGGCAGUCUUGAGUACAGUAGAGGUAGGCGGAAUUCGUGGUGUAGCGGUGAAAUGCUUAGAUAUCACGAAGAACUCCGAUUGCGAAGGCAGCUCACUGGACUGCAACUGACACUGAGGCUCGAAAGUGUGGGUAUCAAACAGGAUUAGAUACCCUAGUAGUC
RNAcentral lists this ribosomal RNA (460 nucleotides) under uncultured bacterium. RNAcentral's name for it is "partial 16S ribosomal RNA". It matches the Rfam family "Bacterial small subunit ribosomal RNA", at positions 338 to 795 of the family's 1533-position model. The record is from RNAcentral.